CGGUGUGGGUGGGUGCAUGAAU
This 22-nucleotide microRNA is filed under the name Ciona intestinalis (vase tunicate). RNAcentral's name for it is "Cin-Mir-92-o70_5p* (star (passenger))". The record is from RNAcentral. Lineage: Eukaryota; Metazoa; Chordata; Ascidiacea; Phlebobranchia; Cionidae.